AACGAACGCUGGCGGCAUGCCUAACACAUGCAAGUCGAACGAGACCUUCGGGUCUAGUGGCGCACGGGUGCGUAACGCGUGGGAACCUGCCCUUAGGUUCGGAAUAACUCCCCGAAAGGGGUGCUAUACCGGAUAAUGUCUUCGGACCAAAGAUUUAUCGCCUUUGGAUGGGCCCGCGUUGGAUUAGCUAGUUGGUAGGGUAAAAGCCUACCAAGGCGACGAUCCAUAGCUGGUCUGAGAGGAUGAUCAGCCACACUGGGACUGAGACACGGCCCAGACUCCUACGGGAGGCAGCAGUGGGGAAUAUUGGACAAUGGGCGAAAGCCUGAUCCAGCAAUGCCGCGUGAGUGAUGAAGGCCUUAGGGUUGUAAAGCUCUUUUACCCGGGAUGAUAAUGACAGUACCGGGAGAAUAAGCUCCGGCUAACUCCGUG
Molecule: ribosomal RNA, 432 nt
Filed under: uncultured bacterium
Lineage: Bacteria
Description: partial 16S ribosomal RNA
Rfam family: Bacterial small subunit ribosomal RNA
Source: RNAcentral